This 464-nucleotide ribosomal RNA is filed under the name uncultured bacterium. RNAcentral's name for it is "partial 16S ribosomal RNA". It matches the Rfam family "Bacterial small subunit ribosomal RNA", at positions 338 to 795 of the family's 1533-position model. The record is from RNAcentral.
CCUACGGGAGACAGCAGUGGGGAAUAUUGCGCAAUGGGCGAAAGCCUGACGCAGCGACGCCGCGUGCGGGAUGAAGGUCUUCGGAUCGUAAACCUCUGUCAGCAGGGAAGAACGGUCACUGUGCUAAUCAGCAGUGAAUUGACGGUACCUGCAACGGAAGCACCGGCUCACUCCGUGCCAGCAGCCGAGAUAAUACGGAGGGUGCGAGCGUUAAUCGGAAUUUCUGGGCGUAAAGCGCGCGUAGGCGUGAUGUCAAGUCAAGGGUGAAAUCCCCGCGCUCAACGUGGGAACUGCCUUUGAACUGGCAAACUGGAGUGUGUGAGAGGAUAGUGGAAUUCCAGAUGUAGGAGUGAAAUCCGUAGAUAUCUGGAGGAACAGCAGUGGCGAAGGCGACUAUCUGGCACAUAACUGACGCUGAGGAGCGAAAGCGUGGGUAGCAAACAGGAUUAGAUACCCCAGUAGUC